GUAUGAUGCUUUCCAAAUCGCUUAUAAUUAACUUUCAUCUUCGUUGUUUCCUAUUUGCAAGGUUCAUUUCUUUUCUUUCUCCAACCCCGAAAGAGAAAGAUAGAAAUGGGUUUGCCUUCUCUAAAGCCAUGCCUUCUUUUGAUCUUCCUUUUUCUUCUCAAUGUCUCCACCAUUAACUCGAAGCGAUCAAAAGUAGAACCUGUGCUUUUUGGCGGGAAUUUUCAGGCUUUGUAUGUUAUAGGAGAUUCAUUGGUUGAUUCAGGGAACAAUAACAAUCUUAACACGUCUGUCAAAGCGAAUUUUGCUCCUUAUGGUUCUGACUUUGAAGGAGGCAAACCCACCGGCCGUUUUAGCAAUGGCAAAACAAUUGCUGAUUACAUUGCUAUUUAUUAUGGGCUUCCUUUGGCUCCUGCUUAUAUGGGAUUAUCAGAAGAACAAAAGAACAAUAUCUCAACUGGUAUUAAUUAUGCUUCUGCUAGCUGUGGGAUUUUUCCUGAUACAGGAACGCGACUGGGCAAAUGUCUUUCGUUGAGUGACCAAGUUGAUCUAUUCGAAAAGACCAUCGACAAUAAUCUGAAGAAAAAGUUUAAGACGCAGUCAGAGCUCACUAAACACUUGGCUGGAUCGUUGUUCAUGACCGCGAUUGGAGUUAACGAUUACGCUUUCUACUUUAAAGAGACAACCGAUCCAAAUGAAUUCGCAGAAAAACUUCUUCAUGAUUUCUUGAUGCAAAUUAAGAGAUUGCAUGAGUUAGGAGCAAGGAAGUUCUUCAUAAACAAUCUUAAACCAUUAGGAUGUUACCCAAAUUACAUAGUAGCUAACACCGUACCACGUGGAAGCUGCAGCAAGUAUUUAAACCAAGGGUUGCCAAAUACAACGCCAAGCUAAGGAAAAGCCUGACUCAUUUGAAAAAAAAAUUCUCCGAAGCUUCUUUCUUAUACUCAGAUUACUUCAACUUCAUGUUGGGACUUCGCGGACCUUUGACCAAUCAAGUUAGUUCGAAUCUGAUAAACUCGAUAAGCCCAUGUUGCCCUAGCGUUUAUGAUGGAGAUAAACGCACGAGUUGCCCGCCAGGAUCAAGCUCGUGUAAGGUGCCAGAUACACAUAUUUUCUUUGAUCCAUUUCAUCCGACUGAAUUGGCGAAUUUCAUGUACUCAAUUGGAUGUUUCCAGCAGAGAAAAGUUUGCGAAGUUGUGUGAGUAAAUAAAUUAACUUUACUCAGCGACAAUCUUAAAAAAUCACAACUUUACUUGUUGCUGCCGUUGUUUAUUUUCCUCUCAUGAUCAAUAUGUGUUUCGAAACAUUUGUGUACCUAACCUCAACGUUUUCGCAUAUUCGAUUCAGUGUAAUUACUUUAUCACUGAUUUCUCAAUGGUGAUUGUGUCAAUCUAUACUAAUAAAAGAGACCUUUUGAGGCAACAUAGAGC
This is an RNA transcript of Brassica napus (rape), 1427 nucleotides long. It is a transcript of the gene named GDSL esterase/lipase At2g03980-like, with no coding region annotated. Lineage: Eukaryota; Viridiplantae; Streptophyta; Magnoliopsida; Brassicales; Brassicaceae. The record is from RefSeq and is a predicted model, not a curated record. The transcript has 4 exons.